RNAcentral lists this ribosomal RNA (2510 nucleotides) under Saccharum hybrid cultivar. RNAcentral's name for it is "bacterial LSU rRNA". The stretch from base 1 to 2008 matches the Rfam family "Bacterial large subunit ribosomal RNA". Lineage: Eukaryota; Viridiplantae; Streptophyta; Magnoliopsida; Poales; Poaceae. The record is from RNAcentral.
GUAAGUAUAUAAAGAAACUAUUACGGAUAAAUAAGCUAUAUAUUAAAGAUGUAAGUCUAAAAUAAAACGUUCUUGGAAAAAUCCAUUUUGUAAACGAAGCGAAUUGAAAUAUCUUAGUAGCUUCAGGAAUAAAAAUCAAAUGAGAUUCCAUAAUUAGCUAUAACUGUUAUGGAAAAGCCUUUAAAGUAAAACGGAAAUAAUCUGUUUGAAUUUAGGGAAACCUUUCUCUAAGGCUAAAUAUGAUAUAUAAGCGAUAGCGAAGCAGUACCGUGAGGGAAAAUUUAGAAAUAGUAGUUUUAUAAGCAGCUCAAGUUUAAUUUAAAAGUAUAAUGAGAGCGUACCUUUUGCAUAAUGGGUCAGCAAGUUAAUGUUAGAUGCGAGAGUAUACUCCUAGAUAAACCAAUUAUUAAUUAAUGAUUAAGUAUCUAAUGUUAGACCCGAAGCCUAGUGAUCUUACCAUGAUCAGGGUUAUAAAGGCCCGAACGGGUUAUCGUUGUAAAGAUAUCCGAUGAAUUGUGGUAAGUUAGUGAAAGACAAAACUGACUAGGAUAGCUGGUUUUCUGCGAAACCUAUAUAAGUAGGUAAUGUAAAUAACAUCAUAGCAGGUACAGAACUGUGAUCUCGGACAAGUUAUCUUUUUUUCUCUUUCUAAAAGAAGAGGAUAGAAAGAUGGUUUUGUAUACAUCGGGGAAUCGUGAAGAUUUUAUCGGCGAGAAUUUGCUCUCGGAAGGGCAAUGAUGGAUUUUGCAUAAUCGGACAUAGUACGAUAAGGUUGUAUGUCUAAAGGGAAACAGCCCAGAACAAGAGUUAAAGGUUCCAAAAUUAUUGUUAAGUGAAAAUAAGGAAGUUUUCUUCAAAUACAACCAGGAAAUAGGCUUAGAAGCGGCCAUUUUUUGAAGACCUCGUAACAGAGCACUGGUUUAACAUUAAAAGUUGAAAGCACCGAAAAUUUAACGGAUCUAAAACAAUAUACCGAAACCUUGUCUAUAAAUAAAUAUAUUUUUAAGAUUUAUAACGCAUCGCGCUCGCUGCGCGCUAAACAUAUUCUUAAGUAGGUUUAUUUAUGGGGUAGCAGAACGUUGGGCAUGUCUUAGACUUAGUAUUUUUAAUAUUAAGUAAGUUUCAACCUAGUCCCAUUAUUCAAACCAAAUAAGUGUUACGCUUUUUUUUAACAAAGAAGGUGGAAGCUCUUAUCUGUUAGGGGUAACGGAAACAGUUGGGAUAAGAUGACCCCAAGUGAGAAUGCUGGCAUGAGUAACGAAAAAGGGAUAGCCCCUCGCCUUAAGCUUAUGGUAUUUAAAAUAAAGUAACGGCCUCUAAGUUUAUAUUUGUCCUAAAGGAUUAAACGAUGAGAAAAUCUUUAGAUAUGUCUAACAACAUUGUGAUAGUUUAAAAAUAAAAUUUUUAAGUGAGUACAUAAUGUUCUGGAAAAAGACUAUUAAUAUUUAUAACCAGACGUAAUGUUCUGGUUGCUCAAGCAAUUGAGCGCGAAACUUUAAAAAAAAGUAUAAAUAUUGUUACAACCGUACCUAGAUACUACCACAAGUAAGCAAGUAGAGUAUACAAAGGCGUUUGAGUUAACAAUCAUUAAGGAACUCGGCAAAAUGACACCGUAACUUAGGGAUAAGGUGUGCCAUCCUUUUUAAGAAAUAUUAAGUUAAGGAUAGGAGGCAUAGAGUGGUGUUGUACGACUGUUUAAUUAAAACAAAGCACUUUGCAUAAGAUGACAAAUCAAAGUAUUGAGUGUGAAUUCUGCCCGAUGUUGGCUGGUUAACGGAUUUUCUUAGCUGACUAAAAUAAGCUAGGUUUUGAAGGAAACCCCAAUCAAUGGCGGCCUUACCGAUGAGGGUCCUAAGGUAGCGGAAUACCUUGGCCGUUAAAUGCGGUCUUGCAUGAAUGAUUUAACGAUACAACAGCUGUCUCAAUGAUUGGCUCAGUGAAAUUGGAAUAACUGUGCAGAUACAGUUUACCUCUAGUUAGACGAGAAGACCCUAUGCAGCUUUACUGUUUGUAGUUAUUGGAUACAAUGGAACAAGUUGUAGCGUAUAAGGUAGUUGAUAAGAUACAAUUGAAACACCUUUACUUAGUUUAUUGUAUAAGUAAUCAACUAGACGAAAGAUGAAGGAAAUUUUUUUUAGUCUUCUGUUAAUUGCUGGUAAUCAGUUAGUCGUUAACUAACUAAAGUGGGGUAUAAAAUAAGUAUAAGAAUACAGGGCUGUUAUAUAAAAGCUAACCGUAUAACCAGUAUAAUGGCGAGUAUCAUCGCAUUGAUAGUAGUAAAUUUACGCUAUUGAAUAUACCUAAAUAUACCUAAUUGACACUUGAGUUAGGCUAAUCGAUUAAUGCUAAUAUACCAGGAAUAGACAAAAGCUAAUUCUAAGGACUCAUGGUUCGGUAGUCAGAAGAGAAAUUACAAAGCUUAUCCUAUAAAAAGAUAUAUAUUUUUAUAUUUGGAAACAUUUGCUAUUAGACAGUUUAUGCGGGGCACAGAUCCCACAAAAAGUACCUGG